CUGAUGUAAACUCAUUGUUUUUUACGGCGUAACACACAAACACAAGCGAGGCUUCGCACGCUCAGCGUUAGCCGGAAUAGACAGCACACAGUCACAUAAUCUGGAGCUUCCCCGGACCCGCCACGUACCGAAACGGAGACGGCAUGGAUUUACAAUGUGCUAAUUAAAAUUCAUGGUCCGUCCAUGAUCUGCUGUUCUUAAUGCGGGAUAUGGAUGAAGUACAGUUGCAGCUUCCUUGUACGCGACUGUUUUGGAGAUUCGGUAGUCGCUUUACUUCCACGUGCUUGUCAGCUUUAGUUGCAGCCUCCAUGUCUGGUACACUGCCGGUGGAACCGCCUAGAUACUUAUCUCGCUGAUAAUUGUUGGUCAGAAGGAAACAUCUUGUAAUUUUUUGGAGUUUAUGAAUUCCUAUUCGAGCCUGCAACGCGAUGACGCCCGGUAUGAACAGAAGAUUGUUUGUAUUGUCUUGUGUAGAUUCGAGCAUACCGAAGAAAGUGCAAGAAUUCAGUUACGUUCAUGCUGCGUUGGGUGCGGCAAAGGACGCGAGGCUGGAACCCCUGAAUUACACUGCUGACUGGCAAAAUCAGGCGUAUCAUGGCGUUUUUUUUUCAGCGUCUCUUUCUCUGUGACGCGCUUGACAAAAACUAGAGCCUGUGAGGCCACUUCCUAAUGAUUCUUCAUAAGCGACAGCGGAGUUCAAGUUAGAGCUUCUCCGUGAUCUCUAGAAGGAGAUCGGCUUUGAUCGUUUCCGUAUCUCUGGACGUGCUUUUAUACACAGUUCCAGUGAAGAUUAUAUCUGCGUGCUUUCCGUGUACGCCUCUGCUGUCUUUUUCUUUUGGUGAGUUCUUGCGAGCGAAGACAGUAAUACAUGUAUUGCGCGUAGAACACAACCGAUUAGAAUAUACCUUGAUAUCAUAUGAUGUCGAAAUUCAGCGAUUUUGAGAUAAUACUGGACUCCUGGUGUGACUAAGCACGACAGCAAUUCAGGGUGGAUAGUGUUUCUCAUGCAACACAGCAGAUGUGUGGAUUGCCACAGCAAAUUUUUUCGGAGACAGUGCACUGAACACUUGCUUUCAGCCGAGAGUGACUCGUGCGUCAAAAACUGAACAGCUGUGCGAAGAGGUUUGAAUUUCGGUGAAGACACUGAAGCAGUGUGCUGCUCACUGGGCGAAUCCCAUAAAUCUCAGUCUGAUGGGGCCUGACAAGGGUACGGCCAAGAAGUGCGCCGCUGUCGUGGGCCGAUGCGAC
RNAcentral lists this long non-coding RNA (1248 nucleotides) under Toxoplasma gondii VEG. Lineage: Eukaryota; Apicomplexa; Conoidasida; Eucoccidiorida; Sarcocystidae. The record is from RNAcentral.